This 253-nucleotide ribosomal RNA is filed under the name uncultured bacterium. Its description in RNAcentral is "partial 16S ribosomal RNA". It matches the Rfam family "Bacterial small subunit ribosomal RNA", at positions 524 to 776 of the family's 1533-position model. The record is from RNAcentral.
UACGGAGGGGGCUAGCGUUGUUCGGAAUUACUGGGCGUAAAGAGCGCGCAGGCGGUCGUGCAAGUCGCGUGUGAAAGCCCCCGGCUCAACUGGGGAGGGUCACGCGAUACUGCUCGACUCGAAGGCAGGAGAGGGAAGUGGAAUUCCCGGUGUAGUGGUGAAAUGCGUAGAUAUCGGGAGGAACACCAGUGGCGAAGGCGACUUCCUGGCCUGUUCUUGACGCUGAGGCGCGAAAGCUAGGGUAGCAAACGGG